GGAAUGGGAACCAGCGCGGGACUGGGCGUGCUGACGUGCCGGGCUUCCGCUGUCCUGUUGAACCCUCACCGCAACCCUACGAGGGGGUAACAGCACCAGGGAAGUCAGUGUGGUGGGUGGAUAAGAGUACUCCUGGCUGGGAGGUAUUUCUAUAUCUGGGCAGCAGCUGGCCAGUGUGGGGAUCCAAACUCUUGACCUUGGUGUUAUCAUCAAUACUGUGCUCUGACCAGCUGAGCUAACCAGCCAGCCCCACAUCUGAUCUUCGUGAACUUGAAUGUGCAAAUGAAUCACCUGAACCUCUUGUUAAAAUGUAGAUUCCAAUUCAGCAGAUCUGGGGUGGACCUGAGGGUCUGCCUUUCUGGCAAGUUCCCAGGUGAUGCACACUUUUGAAGAGUUAAGGCCUCAGAUGACCCAACUGAGACUGACUUCCUGUCUGUUUCAUCAGCUUUACCUCUGCUACCCACUCCCCACCGCACUCCAACAUCUCUGUUCCAGCUGUUCCAAACCACUCACAGUCCCCUGAUGUGCUGGGUGGGAGCUCCAUGUCCCCUCACAUGCUGUUCCCUGAGCCUGGAAUCUACCCUCCCUCCCCCCACUCACAACUCCCAAGUUCCCCAAGACCCAGUUCAUGCAUAUCCUCUUUUGUGAAGACUUCACCAACCACUCUCCUUCAAAAAGAGUGAACAUUUCCCUCCCACUACCUAGAUGCACAUCUAUUACUGCCUUUAUCACACAAUAUUGCAAUUUUUGGUUUACUAUGAACCCAGUGAGGAGAUUGACCAUG
Galeopterus variegatus (Sunda flying lemur) is the source of this 784-nucleotide long non-coding RNA. RefSeq lists it as uncharacterized. The record is from RefSeq and is a predicted model, not a curated record. Lineage: Eukaryota; Metazoa; Chordata; Mammalia; Dermoptera; Cynocephalidae. The transcript has 3 exons.